This 1090-nucleotide long non-coding RNA is filed under the name Hordeum vulgare. Its description in RNAcentral is "long non-coding RNA (HVUL_LNC004404)". Lineage: Eukaryota; Viridiplantae; Streptophyta; Magnoliopsida; Poales; Poaceae. The record is from RNAcentral.
CUCCCUCUACUUUAUCAAGAUUUGUUUCUCCUCUAGUUUAGUUCAUCAUUGCUUGGCGAAGCCCUGCUGGAUUAGUUCACCACCACCACCACCACGCCGUUGUGUUGGAGAAAUCAUCUACCUCUCUGCCCCUCUUGAUGGAUCAAGAAAGCGGAGAUCAUCAUCGAGUUGUACGUGUGCUGAACGCGGAGGUGCCGUCCGUUCGGCACUAGAUCGGGAUGGAUCGUGAUGGGAUUGCGGGACGGAUCGUGAUGAGAUCAUGGGACGGGCUGCGAUUUUAAUCGCGAAGAUGUUCCAUUACAUCAACUGCGUUAUAUACGCUUCCGCUUAGCGAUCUACAAGAGUAUUUAGAUUCACUCUCCCCUCUCAUGGAUGAUCAUCAUCAUGGAUAGGUAUUGCGUGUGCAUAGGAAUUUUUUUGUUCCCAUACAACAUUCCCCAACACAUAUAACACCAUUAAUUUGGACAUGAGGCGUCUCUGGGCAUCUGUGUUUGUAGUACGAGUUGGUGCACGCCAUUAAUGGUUGGAAUGGGGUCGACGAUGAUUUGAACAAUUAGAGGCACUUGUACACGAGCAAGGUUUGCCCACACCACACCAAGUUUAUUAAGUUUGUUAGUAGGAAUUGUGUGUGUUAUGAUGAGUAUUCUCACACAAUUCGGAUUACUAACAUGUUUGUCGGAUACCAUACACAUCUUGUUACGACAAAUUAUUUUUGUUAUUUUAACUCAUCGCAAACAGUUAAUCCGGCUGAACUGCAUGCCAUCUAUCGUACACAUUUUCAUCUAUGUAAUCAUUUGUGUUAUUUUGGCAUGUCACAAACAGUUCAUCCGGGCGACCUGUUUGCCACCUAUUGCACGCAUCUUGGUCUAAUCGUUCGUGUUAUUUUGACUAAUCGCAAAUAGUUAAUCCGACUGAAUUGUAUGUCGUUUAUCACACGCAUCUUGAUCUGUGUAAUCGUUUGUGUCAUUUUAGCAUGUCGCGGACAGUUCAUCCGGACGUCCCUUUGCCGUCUAUCGCACACAUCUUGAUAUGUGUAGUCUUUUAUGUUAUUUCGGCUCAUUGCAAACAGUUCAUCUGAAUUACAUGUAUG